This 32-nucleotide unclassified non-coding RNA is filed under the name Sorangium cellulosum So ce56. RNAcentral describes it as "sce_IRE_115". Lineage: Bacteria; Pseudomonadati; Myxococcota; Polyangiales; Polyangiaceae. The record is from RNAcentral.
UUGCAAAGCAUGCUGCGUUUCCUGCGGGGCGC